CACACUAUCAUUAACUGAAUCCAUAGGUUAAUGAGGCGAACCGGGGGAACUGAAACAUCUAAGUACCCCGAGGAAAAGAAAUCAACCGAGAUUCCCCCAGUAGCGGCGAGCGAACGGGGAGGAGCCCAGAGCCUGAAUCAGUGUGUGUGUUAGUGGAAGCGUCUGGAAAGGCGCGCGAUACAGGGUGACAGCCCCGUACACAAAAAUGCACAUACUGUGAGCUCGAUGAGUAGGGCGGGACACGUGGUAUCCUGUCUGAAUAUGGGGGGACCAUCCUCCAAGGCUAAAUACUCCUGACUGACCGAUAGUGAACCAGUACCGUGAGGGAAAGGCGAAAAGAACCCCGGCGAGGGGAGUGAAAAAGAACCUGAAACCGUGUACGUACAAGCAGUGGGAGCCUCUUAAUGGGGUGACUGCGUACCUUUUGUAUAAUGGGUCAGCGACUUAUAUUCUGUAGCAAGGUUAACCGAAUAGGGGAGCCGAAGGGAAACCGAGUCUUAACUGGGCGUUAAGUUGCAGGGUAUAGACCCGAAACCCGGUGAUCUAGCUAUGGGCAGGUUGAAGGUUGGGUAACACUAACUGGAGGACCGAACCGACUAAUGUUGAAAAAUUAGCGGAUGACUUGUGGCUGGGGGUGAAAGGCCAAUCAAACCGGGAGAUAGCUGGUUCUCCCCGAAAGCUAUUUAGGUAGCGCCUCGUGAAUUCAUCUCCGGGGGUAGAGCACUGUUUCGGCAAGGGGGUCAUCCCGACUUACCAACCCGAUGCAAACUGCGAAUACCGGAGAAUGUUAUCACGGGAGACACACGGCGGGUGCUAACGUCCGUCGUGAAGAGGGAAACAACCCAGACCGCCAGCUAAGGUCCCAAAGUCAUGGUUAAGUGGGAAACGAUGUGGGAAGGCCCAGACAGCCAGGAUGUUGGCUUAGAAGCAGCCAUCAUUUAAAGAAAGCGUAAUAGCUCACUGGUCGAGUCGGCCUGCGCGGAAGAUGUAACGGGGCUAAACCAUGCACCGAAGCUGCGGCAGCGACGCUUAUGCGUUGUUGGGUAGGGGAGCGUUCUGUAAGCCUGUGAAGGUGGCCUGUGAGGGUUGCUGGAGGUAUCAGAAGUGCGAAUGCUGACAUAAGUAACGAUAAAGCGGGUGAAAAGCCCGCUCGCCGGAAGACCAAGGGUUCCUGUCCAACGUUAAUCGGGGCAGGGUGAGUCGACCCCUAAGGCGAGGCCGAAAGGCGUAGUCGAUGGGAAACAGGUUAAUAUUCCUGUACUUGGUGUUACUGCGAAGGGGGGACGGAGAAGGCUAUGUUGGCCGGGCGACGGUUGUCCCGGUUUAAGCGUGUAGGCUGGUUUUCCAGGCAAAUCCGGAAAAUCAAGGCUGAGGCGUGAUGACGAGGCACUACGGUGCUGAAGCGACAAAUGCCCUGCUUCCAGGAAAAGCCUCUAAGCAUCAGGUAACAUUAAAUCGUACCCCAAACCGACACAGGUGGUCAGGUAGAGAAUACCAAGGCGCUUGAGAGAACUCGGGUGAAGGAACUAGGCAAAAUGGUGCCGUAACUUCGGGAGAAGGCACGCUGAUAUGUAGGUGAAGCGACUUGCUCGUGGAGCUGAAAUCAGUCGAAGAUACCAGCUGGCUGCAACUGUUUAUUAAAAACACAGCACUGUGCAAACACGAAAGUGGACGUAUACGGUGUGACGCCUGCCCGGUGCCGGAAGGUUAAUUGAUGGGGUUAGCGGUAACGCGAAGCUCUUGAUCGAAGCCCCGGUAAACGGCGGCCGUAACUAUAACGGUCCUAAGGUAGCGAAAUUCCUUGUCGGGUAAGUUCCGACCUGCACGAAUGGCGUAAUGAUGGCCAGGCUGUCUCCACCCGAGACUCAGUGAAAUUGAACUCGCUGUGAAGAUGCAGUGUACCCGCGGCAAGACGGAAAGACCCCGUGAACCUUUACUAUAGCUUGACACUGAACAUUGAGCCUUGAUGUGUAGGAUAGGUGGGAGGCUUUGAAGUGUGGACGCCAGUCUGCAUGGAGCCGACCUUGAAAUACCACCCUUUAAUGUUUGAUGUUCUAACGUGGGCCCCUUACCGGGGUUGCGGACAGUGUCUGGUGGGUAGUUUGACUGGGGCGGUCUCCUCCUAAAGAGUAACGGAGGAGCACGAAGGUUGGCUAAUCCUGGUCGGACAUCAGGAGGUUAGUGCAAUGGCAUAAGCCAGCUUGACUGCGAGCGUGACGGCGCGAGCAGGUGCGAAAGCAGGUCAUAGUGAUCCGGUGGUUCUGAAUGGAAGGGCCAUCGCUCAACGGAUAAAAGGUACUCCGGGGAUAACAGGCUGAUACCGCCCAAGAGUUCAUAUCGACGGCGGUGUUUGGCACCUCGAUGUCGGCUCAUCACAUCCUGGGGCUGAAGUAGGUCCCAAGGGUAUGGCUGUUCGCCAUUUAAAGUGGUACGCGAGCUGGGUUUAGAACGUCGUGAGACAGUUCGGUCCCUAUCUGCCGUGGGCGCUGGAGAACUGAGGGGGGCUGCUCCUAGUACGAGAGGACCGGAGUGGACGCAUCACUGGUGUUCGGGUUGUCAUGCCAAUGGCACUGCCCGGUAGCUAAAUGCGGAAGAGAUAAGUGCUGAAAGCAUCUAAGCACGAAACUUGCCCCGAGAUGAGUUCUCCCUGACUCCUUGAGAGUCCUGAAGGAACGUUGAAGACGACGACGUUGAUAGGCCGGGUGUGUAAGCGCAGCGAUGCGUUGAGCUAACCGGUACUAAUGAACCGUGAGGCUUAACCUUACAACGCCGAAGGUGUUU
RNAcentral lists this ribosomal RNA (2781 nucleotides) under Escherichia coli. RNAcentral's name for it is "bacterial LSU rRNA". It matches the Rfam family "Bacterial large subunit ribosomal RNA". Lineage: Bacteria; Pseudomonadati; Pseudomonadota; Gammaproteobacteria; Enterobacterales; Enterobacteriaceae. The record is from RNAcentral.